RNAcentral lists this unclassified non-coding RNA (301 nucleotides) under Hevea brasiliensis (rubber tree). Lineage: Eukaryota; Viridiplantae; Streptophyta; Magnoliopsida; Malpighiales; Euphorbiaceae. The record is from RNAcentral.
UGUUAUUGGCCUGGGAUCUCAGGUGGGGGUUUUUUAUGAUAUGUAGCAAUGCAUGUGGAGAUGACCUCUAUUGAACCAACUGUUUUAAUCACUUGCAUCUUCAAACAACACGUGCAUAAGUUGGCAUUAUUAUUUUCUGCAUCUAGUAUCCAAAAUAUAUAACGAAUUUGGUUGACCCAUUUGGAUCGAGUUGACUCAAAUUAUCAUGGGCAUUAAGAUUAGCCUAUUUGCAAGGAAGGUCAUCCGUGCUUUUACUGUUGACAGUUUGUCUCAGGCUACGCUUAGUUUACAGUGUCUGAUA